This 496-nucleotide ribosomal RNA is filed under the name uncultured bacterium. Its description in RNAcentral is "partial 16S ribosomal RNA". It matches the Rfam family "Bacterial small subunit ribosomal RNA", at positions 28 to 507 of the family's 1533-position model. The record is from RNAcentral.
GAUGAACGCUGGCGGCGUGCCUAAUACAUGCAAGUAGAACGCUGAAGGAGGAGCUUGCUCUUUCCGGAUGAGUUGCGAACGGGUGAGUAACGCGUAGGUAACCUGCCUGGUAGCGGGGGAUAACUAUUGGAAACGAUAGCUAAUACCGCAUAACAGUAGAUAUUGCAUGAUAUUUGCUUGAAAGGGGCAAUUGCUCCACUACCAGAUGGACCUGCGUUGUAUUAGCUAGUUGGUGAGGUAACGGCUCACCAAGGCGACGAUACAUAGCCGACCUGAGAGGGUGAUCGGCCACACUGGGACUGAGACACGGCCCAGACUCCUACGGGAGGCAGCAGUAGGGAAUCUUCGGCAAUGGACGGAAGUCUGACCGAGCAACGCCGCGUGAGUGAAGAAGGUUUUCGGAUCGUAAAGCGCUGUUGUAAGAGAAGAACGAGUGUGAGAGUGGAAAGUUCACACUGUGACGGUAUCUUACCAGAAAGGGACGGCUAACUACGUG